UACAGAGGUCUCAAGCGUUGUUCGGAUUCAUUGGGCGUAAAGGGUGCGUAGGCGGCAAGGCAAGUCAGGUGUGAAAUCCCGGAGCUCAACUCCGGAACUGCACUUGAUACUGCCCUGCUAGAGUACUGGAGAGGAGACUGGAAUUUACGGUGUAGCAGUGAAAUGCGUAGAUAUCGUAAGGAAGACCAGUGGCGAAGGCGAGUCUCUGGACAGUUACUGACGCUGAAGCACGAAGGCCAGGGGAGCAAACGGG
Molecule: ribosomal RNA, 253 nt
Filed under: uncultured bacterium
Lineage: Bacteria
Description: partial 16S ribosomal RNA
Rfam family: Bacterial small subunit ribosomal RNA
Source: RNAcentral